RNAcentral lists this long non-coding RNA (547 nucleotides) under Rattus norvegicus (Norway rat). RNAcentral's name for it is "long non-coding RNA NONRATT019925". The record is from RNAcentral. Lineage: Eukaryota; Metazoa; Chordata; Mammalia; Rodentia; Muridae.
UCUUGAGUACUUUGGGGUUCACGAACAGCACAGGGGCUCCCACAUUCUCCCAAGGCAGAGCUGUUGCACCAGGCAAGGUCACCUGCAUUUAUUUAUUGAGCAGCAGCACUACACUAGGCCCAGAGCCUUAGACCCCUUUCCCGUCCCCUGCAAUGGUUCUCUUGGCCUUCCAAGAGGGCCUGUGUCUGCAGAACAGGACCUUGGUGGAUAGAGAGUUUCUAUAGGCUUACCUAGCAAGCCCCAAGGGUUUUUUGUUUCAUCAAGAGAUCCUGUGUGGGCUGGGCCGGAGGCUGGAAGUAGACGUAGGUGUUACUUCUGAGUCCUUUGUGCCGUCCUGUAAGGUGACAGGAAGGUGGGACCCCAGAAUCCUGGGGCUGGGAGCCUCCCUUCAUCUACCCACCUUUCCCUGUUUCCUCUUGGGGGGCAGGAACAGCCUGGUCCUCCAGGGAGGGAGGGAUUUGGGGGCGUCUGAGUUGGAGCGGGUCACAUGGCAUUGUAUUCAUGACUAUAUAGCUCAUGUUGGAAAUUAAAGUUUUUGGCUUUUCUA